AUUGAACGCUGGCGGAAUGCUUUACACAUGCAAGUCGAGCGGCAGCGCGGCCUUCGGGCUGGCGGCGAGCGGCGAACGGGUGAGUAAUGCAUCGGAACAUGCCCAGUCGUGGGGGAUAACACUUCGAAAGAAGUGCUAAUACCGCAUACGUCCUGAGGGGGAAAGCGGGGGAUCGCAAGACCUCGCGCGAUUGGAGUGGCCGAUGUCAGAUUAGCUAGUUGGUGGGGUAAAGGCCUACCAAGGCGACGAUCUGUAGCUGGUCUGAGAGGAUGAUCAGCCACACUGGGACUGAGACACGGCCCAGACUCUUACGGGAGGCAGCAGUGGGGAAUUUUGGACAAUGGGGGCAACCCUGAUCCAGCCAUUCCGCGUGAGUGAAGAAGGCCUUCGGGUUGUAAAGCUCUUUCGGCAGGAACGAAACGGUGGGCUCUAACAUAGUCCGCUAAUGACGGUACCUGAAGAAGAAGCACCGGCUAACUACGUG
Molecule: ribosomal RNA, 484 nt
Filed under: uncultured bacterium
Lineage: Bacteria
Description: partial 16S ribosomal RNA
Rfam family: Bacterial small subunit ribosomal RNA
Source: RNAcentral